Molecule: ribosomal RNA, 565 nt
Filed under: Salmonella enterica
Lineage: Bacteria; Pseudomonadati; Pseudomonadota; Gammaproteobacteria; Enterobacterales; Enterobacteriaceae
Also listed under: 1 other name
Description: partial 23S ribosomal RNA
Rfam family: Bacterial large subunit ribosomal RNA
Source: RNAcentral
CGACUUAUAUUCUGUAGCAAGGUUAACCGUAUAGGGGAGCCGUAGGGAAACCGAGUCUUAACCGGGCGUUAAGUUGCAGGGUAUAGACCCGAAACCCGGUGAUCUAGCCAUGGGCAGGUUGAAGGUUGGGUAACACUAACUGGAGGACCGAACCGACUAAUGUUGAAAAAUUAGCGGAUGACCUGUGGCUGGGGGUGAAAGGCCAAUCAAACCGGGAGAUAGCUGGUUCUCCCCGAAAGCUAUUUAGGUAGCGCCUCGUGAAUUCAUCUCCGGGGGUAGAGCACUGUUUCGGCUAGGGGGCCAUCCCGGCUUACCAACCCGAUGCAAACUGCGAAUACCGGAGAAUGUUAUCACGGGAGACACACGGCGGGUGCUAACGUCCGUCGUGAAGAGGGAAACAACCCAGACCGCCAGCUAAGGUCCCAAAGUCAUGGUUAAGUGGGAAACGAUGUGGGAAGGCCCAGACAGCCAGGAUGUUGGCUUAGAAGCAGCCAUCAUUUAAAGAAAGCGUAAUAGCUCACUGGUCGAGUCGGCCUGCGCGGAAGAUGUAACGGGGCUAAACCAU